RNAcentral lists this unclassified non-coding RNA (536 nucleotides) under Candida albicans. RNAcentral's name for it is "sequence contains 18S rRNA gene, ITS1, 5.8S rRNA gene, ITS2, 28S rRNA gene". The stretch from base 183 to 336 matches the Rfam family "5.8S ribosomal RNA". Lineage: Eukaryota; Fungi; Ascomycota; Pichiomycetes; Serinales; Debaryomycetaceae. The record is from RNAcentral.
UCGUAACAAGGUUUCCGUAGGUGAACCUGCGGAAGGAUCAUUACUGAUUUGCUUAAUUGCACCACAUGUGUUUUUCUUUGAAACAAACUUGCUUUGGCGGUGGGCCCAGCCUGCCGCCAGAGGUCUAAACUUACAACCAAUUUUUUAUCAACUUGUCACACCAGAUUAUUACUAAUAGUCAAAACUUUCAACAACGGAUCUCUUGGUUCUCGCAUCGAUGAAGAACGCAGCGAAAUGCGAUACGUAAUAUGAAUUGCAGAUAUUCGUGAAUCAUCGAAUCUUUGAACGCACAUUGCGCCCUCUGGUAUUCCGGAGGGCAUGCCUGUUUGAGCGUCGUUUCUCCCUCAAACCGCUGGGUUUGGUGUUGAGCAAUACGACUUGGGUUUGCUUGAAAGACGGUAGUGGUAAGGCGGGAUCGCUUUGACAAUGGCUUAGGUCUAACCAAAAACAUUGCUUGCGGCGGUAACGUCCACCACGUAUAUCUUCAAACUUUGACCUCAAAUCAGGUAGGACUACCCGCUGAACUUAAGCAUAUC